AUGGCAGGACCAGAGGAUGGUGGUAGUUACAAAGGAAUGCGGAAUCAACUCGUCGAUGAUGGUCCAGGGAGUGACUUGUGCCAUGACUUGCUGAACGAAAAGCAAGAGAUGAGAGGGGUGGUGCAACAGAUUUUGUGUGGAAAGAUGUAUCAAUCUCUCGGAAUCUUUAUCAUAAAGUGUCCUGAAGCAUUAACCAAUUGCACUUCUUCUUCUCUCCCUAUUGGGGACUGA
This is a non-coding RNA of Vicia faba (fava bean), 231 nucleotides long. The record is from the annotation of a GenBank genome assembly. NCBI's taxonomy places the organism in Eukaryota, Viridiplantae, Streptophyta, Magnoliopsida, Fabales, Fabaceae.